GGUUGACAUUGCUGUGGACCUGUGGCGUUUUGUUCCUCAAAGAAAGCAAGAAAGAUCUCUCUAGUAUUAUAAAAAUAGCAAGUAUACAGACAUGAUGAUGCAUGUAAAAUUAAGGAAACCCCAAUUCUGAACUGGAGCAGGAUGGAUUCUCAUGUUGUUGCAAGUAUUGUUCUAUAAAGGAUGUAAAGAGUAUUCCAUACCAUAUCUGCGUCUGCAAACUACUUUGGCUUUUGGAGCUCUUAGUUCUACUCUAUUAGCAAA
This 261-nucleotide unclassified non-coding RNA is filed under the name Hevea brasiliensis (rubber tree). The record is from RNAcentral. Lineage: Eukaryota; Viridiplantae; Streptophyta; Magnoliopsida; Malpighiales; Euphorbiaceae.